Long non-coding RNA from Cimex lectularius (bed bug), 1020 nucleotides. RefSeq lists it as uncharacterized. NCBI's taxonomy places the organism in Eukaryota, Metazoa, Arthropoda, Insecta, Hemiptera, Cimicidae. The record is from RefSeq and is a predicted model, not a curated record. The transcript is spliced from 3 exons.
GUCAUUUUUUUCUCCUGACGUCUGCCUGUAACGGUCGAAUUCGCCAUCAAACACGUGUUUCUAUUUUGACGUUGGAUCUCGUUUUAAAUACGAGAACACGUCAUAAAAAUACUACGAUUCUUUAAAACCUAAGCCUAAUUAUGUGACGAUUGAAACUAGGAUCUGAUCUGCCUUCCAUUUCAAGCCACCAUUUUGCUCAAGUCGGAUUCUUUAAGGAGAGGUUCCACUGCUAUUACUACUACUACAAGUUUUGUUCAACGCCUUGAAAAACUCGCUCUACAAAAUUGUCCAAUUUCAGGGGUGUAUUCCUUCACGAGGAAAAACGACUAAUCAGGGGAGUAAAUUAGCGAGAAUGGAGAGGGUUCAACUCCAAUCUGAACAAUUCCAAGGACUAUUAGAAUUAUAAUUUAUGGGAAUACUAAGAAAAGUCAGAAGAAGCAGACUCGACAUCAUCUUCAGAUCUAACCUCCGCAAGACCACCGGGAACAUCCUAUAGUUCUGCCCAAAGCUCAAGAAGUAAGCUUUACUUAUCUCUGUCUUUAUAAUAUAAUAAAUAUAGUUUGGUAAGAAAAACACAUUAUUAUAUAUUAUGUAGCAAUAAAAAUAAACAACUAUUUUUAGGUUGUUAGAGGAUUUGGUAUAAAAAGUUCUGUCUUAUAAAUCUAGGCAUAAAACCAUCAACUGGCAGAAACAUUAAAAAAAAAAAAAAAUCAGACGAAUGCGAGCUUUCUGAAUUACUAAGAAAAGAUGCAUGAACACCCAACGUUUGACCUAAGAUGUAUUAAUAAAAUUGGAAGGGAAGAGAAAAGCCUUGGAGUUACCUAAACAAGUCAGUAACUAUAACUUCGAAAAAAGCUUCAAUUGAAAUUCUUAACCAAAAUUAUCAUGUCUGGCCCUUGCAAUUAAUGCUUUUUCUGGAGAAAUAAUUCCAAAAAACUUCAAUACGAGAACAGUAUGUAAAUAAAUAGAUGUUAUUUUCUUAUAUUUUUUGUAUGCCUAUUAUAUUGAAUUUUUAUUCAA